RNAcentral lists this ribosomal RNA (512 nucleotides) under uncultured bacterium. RNAcentral's name for it is "partial 16S ribosomal RNA". It matches the Rfam family "Bacterial small subunit ribosomal RNA", at positions 28 to 523 of the family's 1533-position model. The record is from RNAcentral.
GACGAACGCUGGCGGCGUGCCUAAUACAUGCAAGUCGAGCGGAUUGAUGGGAGCUUGCUCCCUGAUAUCAGCGGCGGACGGGUGAGUAACACGUGGGCAACCUGCCUAUAAGACUGGGAUAACUUCGGGAAACCGGAGCUAAUACCGGAUAAUCCCUUUCCUCUCAUGAGGAAAGGCUGAAAGAUGGUUUACGCUAUCACUUAUAGAUGGGCCCGCGGCGCAUUAGCUAGUUGGUGAGGUAACGGCUCACCAAGGCAACGAUGCGUAGCCGACCUGAGAGGGUGAUCGGCCACACUGGGACUGAGAGACGGCCCAGACUCCUACGGUAGGCAGCAGUAGGGAAUCUUCCGAAAUGGACCAAAGUCUGACGGAGCAACGCCGCGUGAGUGAUGAAGGUUUUCGGAUCGUAAAACUCUGUUGUUGGGGAAGAACAAGUACGAGAGUAACUGCUCGUACCUUGACGGUACCUAACCAGAAAGCCACGGCUAACUACGUGCCAGCCGCCGCGGUAA